RNAcentral lists this ribosomal RNA (253 nucleotides) under uncultured bacterium. RNAcentral's name for it is "partial 16S ribosomal RNA". It matches the Rfam family "Bacterial small subunit ribosomal RNA", at positions 524 to 776 of the family's 1533-position model. The record is from RNAcentral.
UACGUAGGGUGCGAGCGUUAAUCGGAAUUACUGGGCGUAAAGCGUGUGCAGGCGGUUUCGAAAGUCCGAUGUGAAAUCCCCGGGCUUAACCUGGGAACUGCGUUGGAAACUACGAGGCUAGAGUGCGGCAGAGGGGGGUGGAAUUCCAGGUGUAGCAGUGAAAUGCGUAGAGAUGUGGAGGAACACCGAUGGCGAAGGCAGCCUCCUGGGCCAGCACUGACGCUCAUGCACGAAAGCGUGGGGAGCAAACAGG